RNAcentral lists this ribosomal RNA (460 nucleotides) under uncultured bacterium. Its description in RNAcentral is "SSU rRNA". It matches the Rfam family "Bacterial small subunit ribosomal RNA", at positions 26 to 518 of the family's 1533-position model. The record is from RNAcentral.
AGAAUCAACGCUGGCGGCGUGCCUAACACAUGCAAGUCGCACGAGAAAGUGGAGCAAUCCAUGAGUAAAGUGGCGCACGGGUGAGUAACACGUGAAUCAUCUACCUCCGAGUGGGGAAUAACCUAGAGAAAUCUGGGCUAAUACCGCAUAACACUUACGAGUCAAAGCAGCAAUGCGCUUGGAGAGGAGUUCGCGGCCGAUUAGUUAGUUGGCGGGGUAAUGGCCCACCAAGACGAUGAUCGGUAUCCGGCCUGAGAGGGCGCACGGACACACUGGAACUGAAACACGGUCCAGACUCCUACGGGAGGCAGCAGUGGGGAAUUUUGCGCAAUGGGGGAAACCCUGACGCAGCAACGCCGCGUGGAGGAUGAAAUAUCUUGGUAUGUAAACUCCUUUCGAUGGGGAAGAUUAUGACGGUACCCAUAGAAGAAGCCCCGGCUAACUUCGUGCCAGCAGCCGC